CCAGCCACCGCGGUUACACGAUUAACCCAAGCUAAUAGAGAUCGGCGUAGAGGGUGUUUAAGAUCUAACAUAAUAAAGCUAAACUCCACCUAAACUGUAAAACCCUAGCUAAUGUAAAAUAAACUACGAAAGUGGCUUUAAAGCUUCUGAACACACAAUAGCCAAGACCCAAACUGGGAUUAGACACCCCACUAUGCUUGGCCCUAAACCUCAGUAGUUAGAUAACAAAACUACUCGCCAGAAUACUACAAGCAACAGCUUAAAACUCAAAGGACUUGACGGUGCUUUACAUCCCCCUAGAGGAGCCUGUUCCGUAAUCGAUAAACCCCGAUCCACCCUACCCUCUCUUGCUCAGCCUAUAUACCGCCAUCUUCAGCAAACCCUAAUGAAGGCCACAAAGUGAGCGCAAACGCCGUCGCCGCAAAUACGUUAGGUC
RNAcentral lists this ribosomal RNA (436 nucleotides) under Macaca fascicularis (crab-eating macaque). RNAcentral describes it as "partial 12S ribosomal RNA". It matches the Rfam family "Bacterial small subunit ribosomal RNA", at positions 508 to 1033 of the family's 1533-position model. Lineage: Eukaryota; Metazoa; Chordata; Mammalia; Primates; Cercopithecidae. The record is from RNAcentral.